GGUCGUUUAGAAACGUGAGUUUUGUACAUGGUUUUGUAUAAAAUAAUAUUUAAAAUUAAAGAGACCAAGAUAAUUUCGCCUGCGGUAGUUUUAUCUUAUUCAUAAUGCCUGAGGAAAAGGAACAAAAGAAAUUAAAGCCCUGUUGUGCUUGUCCGGAAACUAGAAAAGCUAGAGAUGCAUGUAUAAUGGAAAAAGGUGAAGAAAACUGUUCAGAAUUGGUGGAUGCACAUAAGGCAUGCUUGAAAAAAAUGGGCUUUAAUGUUUGAUGAACAAGAAUGGAAAACCUUCUAUUAAACAAAAUACUUGCCAUGUCAUUUGUAUAUAGUGUGCAUAUUGUAUUUAUUUGUACAAUAAAAAUUUAUGGUUAAAUAAAUAUUAUACUGAUAGA
Molecule: long non-coding RNA, 388 nt
Organism: Uloborus diversus
Lineage: Eukaryota; Metazoa; Arthropoda; Arachnida; Araneae; Uloboridae
Exons: 2
Source: RefSeq, a predicted model, not a curated record